RNAcentral lists this ribosomal RNA (414 nucleotides) under Brachybacterium paraconglomeratum. RNAcentral describes it as "bacterial SSU rRNA". It matches the Rfam family "Bacterial small subunit ribosomal RNA", at positions 337 to 764 of the family's 1533-position model. Lineage: Bacteria; Bacillati; Actinomycetota; Actinomycetes; Micrococcales; Dermabacteraceae. The record is from RNAcentral.
UCCUUCGGGGGGCCUGCAGUGGGGAAUAUUGCACAAUGGGCGAAAGCCUGAUGCAGCGACGCCGCGUGGGGGAUGACGGCCUUCGGGUUGUAAACUCCUUUCAGUAGGGAAGAAGCGAGAGUGACGGUACCUGCAGAAGAAGCGCCGGCUAACUACGUGCCAGCAGCCGCGGUAAUACGUAGGGCGCAAGCGUUGUCCGGAAUUAUUGGGCGUAAAGAGCUUGUAGGUGGCUUGUCGCGUCUGCCGUGAAAACCCGAGGCUCAACCUCGGGCGUGCGGUGGGUACGGGCAGGCUAGAGUGUGGUAGGGGAGACUGGAACUCCUGGUGUAGCGGUGAACUUUCACAUAUCAGGAAGAACACCGAUGGCGAAGGCAGGUCUCUGGCCAUACUGACACUGAGGAGCCGAAAGGCCUG